AACCUCUUGGAAGCUCCUGUCUGUGAAGGGUGUGCACAGAGAGCUUCGGUAGCCUGCGAAGCAGCCAUUUUCACUUCCACGGAGCAGAUGCUGGCCUGGGUGCUGGAAUAUGGAAAUGAGGAAGAUCCUGCCUGAGGAUUUCAUGACAGGUGAGGGGGAGAGAGGCCUGAGGAAGUUACCACCGGGGAAGGUGACAAGUGCAGUGAUAGGAUAAAUACGAAGUGCAAAGAGAAGACAGACAAGAAGUUCAGCUAGCUAAGAAAUGUGUUAAUAACACCUUGAUCAAUCAUUCCUCCACUUUUUUUUUCUUUUGAGAGUCUCAUUCUGUCACCCCACCCAGAGUGCAGUGGCAGGAACACAACUCAUUGCUACUUCAACUUUCUGGGCUCAAGCGAUCCUCCUGCCUCAGCCUCCUGUGUAGCUGGGGCCACGUGUAUUGCACCACCAAGCCUGGCUUAUUUUUUAAUUUCUUUUGUAAAGACAGGGUCUCACUAUGUUGCCCAGACUGGUUUCAAACUCUUGGACUUAAGCAAUCCUCUCAUCUUUGCCUCCCAAAGUGCUGCGAUUACCGACGUGAGCCACUGUGCCCAGCCUCACUUUAAAAAAAAAAAAAGGUUAUGAAGCAUCUCAACACAAGACCUCCUUUGCUCAUCACAACCACCCAGUGAAGCAGGCAAGACAACAGAAACUCCCCACCUGUGAUAGAUGUGAGGCCUGAAGUCUCCCACAUACCCACGGCAGAUGCAACGCACAGCGGUGACCAAUGGUGAAGGAUCUAAAACCUGAAAAGAGGCCAAAUGAUUCCUCAAAACCACGCAAGUACGAAGUAGCAGAGCGGAUCUCAAAUCCAGAAUACUACUAAAGUCAUGCCGUGUGACUUCUGAAGCUAGCUCCUAAGAAGUCCUUGCAGCUUCUGCCUGCGACUCUUAGAACACUUGCUUUGAAGGAUGCCAGAUGCUGUCUUAAAAGUCUGAGCACUCUGAAACCAUCAUGCUGUGAGGAAGCCCAAGCUAACCACAUGGGCAAAAAAGAUGCCCUCUGACUGCCACCAUUUGAGACACUCUAAUUAAGAACUGCCUCAUUGAGCCCAUGAGGCCCUGUGAAUGAUAAUAAUAAAUUGUUUUUAACCACUAUGUUUUUGGAUUUGUUAUAAGUUUAUAGAUAACAAGAAAAAGUUAUAUUAGCAUGGUAAUAAAAUUAUGGAUAUGU
Molecule: long non-coding RNA, 1209 nt
Filed under: Homo sapiens (human)
Lineage: Eukaryota; Metazoa; Chordata; Mammalia; Primates; Hominidae
Description: long intergenic non-protein coding RNA 964
Source: RNAcentral